RNAcentral lists this ribosomal RNA (468 nucleotides) under uncultured bacterium. Its description in RNAcentral is "partial 16S ribosomal RNA". It matches the Rfam family "Bacterial small subunit ribosomal RNA", at positions 28 to 507 of the family's 1533-position model. The record is from RNAcentral.
GACGAACGCUGGCGGCGUGCUUAACACAUGCAAGUCGAACGGAAAGGCCCUGCUUUUGUGGGGUGCUCGAGUGGCGAACGGGUGAGUAACACGUGAGUAACCUGCCCUGGACUUUGGGAUAACUUCAGGAAACUGGGGCUAAUACCGGAUAGGAGCUCCUGCUGCAUGGUGGGGGUUGGAAAGUUUCGGCGGUUGGGGCUGGACUCGCGGCUUAUCAGCUUGUUGGUGGGGUAGUGGCUUACCAAGGCUUUGACGGGUAGCCGGCCUGAGAGGGUGACCGGCGACAUUGGGACUGAGAGACGGCCCAGACUCCUACGGGAGGCAGCAGUGGGGAAUAUUGCACAAUGGGCGGAAGCCUGAUGCAGCAACGCCGCGUGCGGGAUGACGGCCUUCGGGUUGUAAACCGCUUUCGCCUGUGACGAAGCGUGAGUGACGGUAAUGGGUAAAGAAGCACCGGCUAACUACGUG